CAGUCGCCGCGGGAAUACAGAGGAUGCAAGCGUUAUCCGGAAUGAUUGGGCGUAAAGCGUCUGUAGGUGGCUUUUCAAGUCCGCCGUCAAAUCCCAGGGCUCAACCCUGGACAGGCGGUGGAAACUACCAAGCUGGAGUACGGAAGGGGCAGAGGGAAUUUCCGGUGGAGCGGUGAAAUGCGUUGAGAUCGGAAAGAACACCAUUGGCGAAAGCACUCUACUGGGCCGACACUGACAUUGAGAGACGAAAGCUAGGGGAGCAAAUGGGAUUAGAUACCCCAGUAGUCCCUGUCUCUUAUAC
RNAcentral lists this ribosomal RNA (301 nucleotides) under uncultured bacterium. RNAcentral's name for it is "partial 16S ribosomal RNA". It matches the Rfam family "Bacterial small subunit ribosomal RNA", at positions 509 to 807 of the family's 1533-position model. The record is from RNAcentral.